GAUGAACGCUGGCGGCGUGCCUAAUACAUGCAAGUCGAGCGAACGGACGAGAAGCUUGCAUCUCUGAUGUUAGCGGCGGACGGGUGAGUAACACGUGGAUAACCUACCUAUAAGACUGGGAUAACUUCGGGAAACCGGAGCUAAUACCGGAUAAUAUUUUGAACCGCAUGGUUCAAAAGUGAAAGACGGUCUUGCUGUCACUUAUAGAUGGAUCCGCGCUGCAUUAGCUAGUUGGUAAGGUAACGGCUUACCAAGGCAACGAUGCAUAGCCGACCUGAGAGGGUGAUCGGCCACACUGGAACUGAGACACGGUCCAGACUCCUACGGGAGGCAGCAGUAGGGAAUCUUCCGCAAUGGGCGAAAGCCUGACGGAGCAACGCCGCGUGAGUGAUGAAGGUCUUCGGAUCGUAAAACUCUGUUAUUAGGGAAGAACAUAUGUGUAAGUAACUGUGCACAUCUUGACGGUACCUAAUCAGAAAGCCACGGCUAACUACGU
Molecule: ribosomal RNA, 496 nt
Filed under: uncultured bacterium
Lineage: Bacteria
Description: partial 16S ribosomal RNA
Rfam family: Bacterial small subunit ribosomal RNA
Source: RNAcentral